CUGGCGUCAGGAUGAACGCUAGCUACAGGCUAACACAUGCAAGUCGAGGGGCAGCGAGAAGAAGCUUGCUUCUUGUCGGCGACCGGCGCACGGGUGAGUAACGCGUAUCCAACCUUCCCCUUAGUAGGGCAUAGCCCGUAGAAAUGCGGAUUAAUACCCUAUGUUGUUCGAUGCGGACAUCUAAGUUGAACCAAAGGUUUACCGCUAAGGGAUGGGGAUGCGUCUGAUUAGGCAGCAGGCGGGGUAACGGCCCACCUGGCCGACGAUCAGUAGGGGCUCUGAGAGGAAGGUCCCCCACAUUGGAACUGAGACACGGUCCAAACUCCUACGGGAGGCAGCAGUGAGGAAUAUUGGUCAAUGGGCGCGAGCCUGAACCAGCCAAGUAGCGUGCAGGAUGACGGCCCUAUGGGUUGUAAACUGCUUUUAUGCGGGGAUAAAGUGCGGCACGUGUGCCGUUUUGUAGGUACCGCAUGAAUAAGGACCGGCUAAUUCCGUGCCAGCCGCCGC
This 507-nucleotide ribosomal RNA is filed under the name uncultured bacterium. Its description in RNAcentral is "bacterial SSU rRNA". It matches the Rfam family "Bacterial small subunit ribosomal RNA", at positions 18 to 518 of the family's 1533-position model. The record is from RNAcentral.